GGACUGAAUUUACCAAUUUGGAUACUUGGUGGUAUCUGAUUAUAUAGAUGCUUUAUUAUGCCAUUAGUAUCAGAGAAGUUUAUGCUCAGGACAAUUCUUAUCAAGUUUGACUCUGUACAAGGCUAAGAAUUUCUCUCUUGAGUUAUGAAUGUCUUAACUCACCAAAUAAGUAUGAUGGGUGUUUUCAUUUCUAGACAAGUUUCGCGGUCACCUCAUAGCAA
This 221-nucleotide unclassified non-coding RNA is filed under the name Hevea brasiliensis (rubber tree). Lineage: Eukaryota; Viridiplantae; Streptophyta; Magnoliopsida; Malpighiales; Euphorbiaceae. The record is from RNAcentral.